RNAcentral lists this ribosomal RNA (469 nucleotides) under uncultured Flavobacteriia bacterium. RNAcentral describes it as "bacterial SSU rRNA". It matches the Rfam family "Bacterial small subunit ribosomal RNA", at positions 494 to 965 of the family's 1533-position model. Lineage: Bacteria; Pseudomonadati; Bacteroidota; Flavobacteriia. The record is from RNAcentral.
CGGCUAACUCCGUGCCAGCAGCCGCGGUAAUACGGAGGAUCCAAGCGUUAUCCGGAUUUAUUGGGUUUAAAGGGUGCGUAGGCGGGACAUUAAGUCAGUGGUGAAAUCUUCCAGCUCAACUGGGAAACUGCCUUUGAUACUGUUGUUCUUGAGUUUGGUUGAAGUGGGCGGAAUGAGGCAUGUAGCGGUGAAAUGCUUAGAUUUGCCUCAGAACACCGAUUGCGAAGGCAGCUUACUAAACCAAUACUGACGCUGAGGCACGAAAGCGUGGGUAGCGAACAGGAUUAGAUACCCUGGUAGUCCACGCCGUAAACGAUGAUUACUCGCUGUUGGCGAUACACUGUGAGCGGCUAAGCGAAAGUGAUAAGUAAUCCACCUGGGAGUACGUUCGCAAGAAUGAAACUCAAAGGAAUUGACGGGGGCCCGCACAAGCGGUGGGAGCAUGUGGUUUAAUUCGAUGAUACGCGAG